UACGAAGGGGGCUAGCGUUGUUCGGAAUCACUGGGCGUAAAGGGCGCGUAGGCGGCUUUAUAAGUCGGGGGUGAAAGCCUGUGGCUCAACCACAGAAUUGCCUUCGAUACUGUAGAGCUUGAGACCGGAAGAGGUUAGUGGAACUGCGAGUGUAGAGGUGAAAUUCGUAGAUAUUCGCAAGAACACCAGUGGCGAAGGCGGCUGUCUGGUCCGGUUCUGACGCUGCGGCGC
Molecule: ribosomal RNA, 231 nt
Filed under: uncultured bacterium
Lineage: Bacteria
Description: partial 16S ribosomal RNA
Rfam family: Bacterial small subunit ribosomal RNA
Source: RNAcentral